RNAcentral lists this ribosomal RNA (763 nucleotides) under Bipolaris maydis (southern corn leaf blight pathogen). RNAcentral describes it as "SSU rRNA". It matches the Rfam family "Bacterial small subunit ribosomal RNA", at positions 361 to 1072 of the family's 1533-position model. The record is from RNAcentral. Lineage: Eukaryota; Fungi; Ascomycota; Dothideomycetes; Pleosporales; Pleosporaceae.
AUAUUGGUCAAUGGCCUAACGGCUGAACCAGCAACUUGCAGGAAUGAGAGUUAAUAUAAUAAGUUUAUUAACUUGCUUGACUAGGUCUUAUAAAGUUCUGGAUAAAGCUUAUUAUGAAAACUUUAUAUCCAUAGGUCUCGACCAAAUCUUGUGCCAGCAGUCGCGGUAAGACAAGGGAGACGAGUGUUAUUCAUCUUUAACAGGUAUAUAGGGUACCUAGACGGUGUGCAAUGGCUUAAAUAAGUACCUGGUACACUUGAGUUUGAUAUGUGAGAGGAAUAUGUCGGAAUUGUUGGAGGAAAGAUGAAAUUUGUUAAUACCAAUAGGACUGAUAACGGCGAAGGCAAACCUCUAUGUACAUGUACUUGCUAUCUCUCUAUUAGAGAGGAACAGAAAUUUCUCUUAUAAAAAAUCUUAUAUAAAAAAAGAGGAAAACAGCAAUGUGCUAUAACUGACGUUGAGGGACGAAGGCUCAGAGAGUGAAGAGGAUUAGAUACCCCCGUAACCUGGGCAGACAAUGAUGAGUGCCAUAGGUUGGCUUUAAGGCGGAACUAUAAAUGAAAGUGGAAGCACUCCACCUCAAGAGUAAUGUGGCAACGCAGGAACUGAAAUCAUUAGACCGUUUCUGAAACCAGUAGUGAAGUAUGUUAUUUAAUUCGAUGAUCCGCGAAUAACCUUACCACAAUUUGAAUGACCUAAAAUAUUUUUUUUGAAUUUUUAGACCACAUGCGUUGCAUGGCUGUCUUCAGUUAAUGUCGUGAGA